AGCGAACGCUGGCGGCAGGCCUAACACAUGCAAGUCGAACGAACUCUUCGGAGUUAGUGGCGGACGGGUGAGUAACACGUGGGAACGUGCCUUUUGGUUCGGAAUAACUCAGGGAAACUUGUGCUAAUACCGAAUGUGCCCUUCGGGGGAAAGAUUUAUCGCCAUUAGAGCGGCCCGCGUCUGAUUAGCUAGUUGGUGAGGUAACGGCUCACCAAGGCGACGAUCAGUAGCUGGUCUGAGAGGAUGACCAGCCACACUGGGACUGAGACACGGCCCAGACUCCUACGGGAGGCAGCAGCGGGGAAUCGUGCGAAAUGGGCGAAAGCCUGACGCAGCCAUGCCGCGUGAAUGAUGAAGGUCUUAGGAUUGUAAAAUUCUUUCAACGGGGACGAUAAUGACGGUACCCGGAGAAGAAGCCCCGGCUAACUUCGUG
RNAcentral lists this ribosomal RNA (433 nucleotides) under uncultured bacterium. Its description in RNAcentral is "partial 16S ribosomal RNA". It matches the Rfam family "Bacterial small subunit ribosomal RNA", at positions 29 to 507 of the family's 1533-position model. The record is from RNAcentral.